RNAcentral lists this ribosomal RNA (253 nucleotides) under uncultured bacterium. RNAcentral's name for it is "partial 16S ribosomal RNA". It matches the Rfam family "Bacterial small subunit ribosomal RNA", at positions 524 to 776 of the family's 1533-position model. The record is from RNAcentral.
UACGAAGGGGGCAAGCGUUGUUCGGAAUUACUGGGCGUAAAGGGCGCGUAGGCGGCCUUCUAAGUCAGACGUGAAAUCCCCCGGCUUAACCUGGGAACUGCGUCUGAUACUGGAAGGCUUGAGUGCGGGAGAGGGAUGUGGAAUUCCAGGUGUAGCGGUGAAAUGCGUAGAUAUCUGGAGGAACACCGGUGGCGAAGGCGGCAUCCUGGACCGACACUGACGCUGAGGCGCGAAAGCUAGGGUAGCAAACGGG